AAAUAAGUUAAGAAAUAUAAGGGUAGUAUUAUAUAUAUACUAGAGUCUAGUAUAAAUAUAUCUGAAAUCUAAAAGAUUUGGCGGCAUCUGAAUGUUUAAGGGACUCGCUUCAUAAAAUCGUCAUUACUCGAUUGAUCUUGCCUUUAAGUAGUUUGUAUACCACCGAUUUAUAUUAAUUAAUAGAUUAAUCUAAUAAUUUUAUGUUUGUUAUUCAGGUCAACGUGCAGCAUGUAGAAGGAAGAGGUAAGUCACAUUUUUCAUGAAUUGCAGUCUAAGACUGAAAGUUUUGUUGUUAAGAUGAAUUAAUAAGUAAAUAAGGGUUAGAAUUCUUUUUUGAAGAGGUAUCAGAUGUGU
RNAcentral lists this ribosomal RNA (354 nucleotides) under Cirolana harfordi. RNAcentral's name for it is "partial 12S ribosomal RNA". The record is from RNAcentral. Lineage: Eukaryota; Metazoa; Arthropoda; Malacostraca; Isopoda; Cirolanidae.